Molecule: unclassified non-coding RNA, 2016 nt
Filed under: Hevea brasiliensis (rubber tree)
Lineage: Eukaryota; Viridiplantae; Streptophyta; Magnoliopsida; Malpighiales; Euphorbiaceae
Source: RNAcentral
AAUCACUAUCCACCCCUAUUUCUCUUGCAUCAACGGAAAAUAGACAAUGAGUCAUAAAUGGCCAAAUGGGUAUAGUUAAUAAGAGUUGUCAGGUGUGUGGACUAUGGUUGGUUGUUCAUUGUUGUGCCUAUAUUAAAGACCUCUGCCAUUUAUGCACUGCGCAAGGGUGUCGGUGAGAUUCGGCGUACAGUAAAUGCUGCUGAAUUUAUAGUGGUCAAGAAACAAACACAAAUAAGGUGAAAAAAUACAACUUUAAUCCUCUGGAAAUUACAAAUAAUUUAAGACUAAAUUGAUGUUUAAUAAUUUUAUUGUUUUUCCUUUUCAUAACAUCACCGAUUUCCUUUCUGAACUAAGCAGCAUAUCUCACGUCAAUAAUUAAACAAUCUGUUCUUAUUGCAUACAAUGAUCUUCAACUUCAAUUCAAAAGCCCACUACAUAAAAAAUACAAUCAAACCCAACUGUAAUCUGUUCAUUUAUUUCUUUCAUCUGGGUAAUAUGACUGCUUUGAGAGGAUUCUUCAUAACCACAGUGAAGGCAAAAGUCUCUGUGGGAUCAGGAAGGCCAUUGGGGUUGGGUAGCCACUUGAAAGCUUGGACCAUCCUAGCAAGCAUUAGGUUUACAUGUAACAUACCAAGAGUAAGCCCUGGGCAAGUCCUCCGCCCUGCCCCAAACGGCAACAUCUUCACCGUGCCCUUAGUUCCUGUCAGGUCCACUCCAACUCCAUCCCCUUCCAAGAACCUUUCGGGUCUGAACACACCUGGAUCUUUCCAUAAAUUCGGAUCCUCUGUCAUCCACUCAAUGUAAAACUCUACAUUCGCGUUGGUCGGAAUCUCGUAGCCACCAAGCUUAGUCUCCUCCGUGGCCGCGUGUGACAAUGUGAAGUGGGCUGGAGAAUGUAUCCGUAAAGUUUCCUUAACCACAGCAUUAAGAUAUGGCAUUUUCUCUACAUGGUCUUCAGUGAUUAGCCCAUUUUUUCCCACAGUUGAUACAAUUUCCCUGUAAAGCUGUUCUUGAAUUUCUUGAUUUAGAACUAAUUCAAGAAAAGCCCAUUGAAGCACACUCGUACUAGUGUCAAUACCAGCAACAAACACCUCUGAGCAAAGUGUCACGAGUUCUUCUUCUCCCAAAAGGCCGCGCCCCGGGGCCUUAAGCUCAAAAAGAGAGUCCACAUAGGCUGCGCCAACUGGACUCACCAUCAGGGAGCCUGGGUUUUCACCUUUCUCUACAUAAGCUCUCCUGUUUCUUAUCAGAGGAACCAAGCAUUCUAUCUGUGUCUUCCUCAGCUCUUUCGCUCUUUUCAUUUGCCUGCGAAACAAUGGAGUGAGAAUUGGCAAGAAAUCGGGAAGCUGUGGCGAGGUUAUAAGCAUAACCUCCUUUGUGACACUAUCAAUAUCCUUAAUCCAUUCUUCUGGGAUUUUGGCACCGAAGCAUAUGCAUACUAGAAUGCUGCAAACAGUGAACCUACAGAUGUCCAUAACAUCUACACAACCAUUUUCAAAGGCCUCAUUUUGGAGCCUCUUCAUGUGAUUCUCCAUAGCCCAUUCUCGUAUCCAGCUGCAUUGCUUGAUUCUAACCGGGCUUAUCAACUCUGUAACAAAGUUCCGGCGAAGGGUUCUCCAGAGAGGCCCAUAUUCUGCUGAAUUGACUGCACAUUUCCCUACACUAAACACCAGCCGGAUCGGCGAGUCUAGUGGCCUGCUGGCGAAGACAGAGCCUUUCUGGAUCAAGGCCUCAUGGAUGAGUUCGGGGCUGGUGACUAUAACCAAAGUACGUUGACCCAUUUGCAUGGUGAAGAUUGGACCAUACUUUGCACGUAAAUCACGUAUCAAAAAAAUGAAGUGACGGCGCUGGAGGAUAACCUGGAACAAGUUGCCCACAAACGGCCACCCCGGCGGUCCUGGUGGAAGGUUAUUGGACUUGCACUUGCCGGCGGUGACAGAAUAUCGCCACCACAGGACAAGAAAGACUAAGGAGAAACAGAGAAUGAAGAGAUCUAUCAACUCCAUAGUUGAGGAG